GACGAACGCUGGCGGCGUGCCUAACACAUGCAAGUCAACUUGACGGAAGGAGCAAUCUGACCGUAGAGUAGCGCAAGGGUGCGUAACGCGUAAGUAACUUGCCCAAGGUAAGGAAUAACGUCGAGAAAUCGGCGCUAAUACCUCAUGAUGCAGCGGAUCCGCAUGGAUAUGUUGUUAAAGGUUUACCGCCUUGGGAUAGGCUUGCGUCUGAUUAGCUAGUUGGUGUGGUAACGGCACACCAAGGCUACGAUCAGUAACUGGUCUGAGAGGAUGAUCAGUCACACUGGAACUGAGACACGGUCCAGACUCCUACGGGAGGCAGCAGUGAGGAAUAUUGGGCAAUGCUCGAAAGAGUGACCCAGCAACGCCGCGUGGAGGAUGAAGGUAUUCUAUAUCGUAAACUCCUGUGAGAGCAGACGAAAGACAGAUUAUUAAUCUGGAUGACUGUAUGCUCAGAGGAAG
Molecule: ribosomal RNA, 462 nt
Filed under: uncultured bacterium
Lineage: Bacteria
Description: bacterial SSU rRNA
Rfam family: Bacterial small subunit ribosomal RNA
Source: RNAcentral